AAAAAAUUAGCCUUGUAGUAAUGAAAAAAAAAUAAUUCUACAAGAAUGGGUCUCAUUAUCUUUUGGAUCUGUCAUAUAGUAAAAUAUUAAUCGAAAUGCAAAAUAAACAAACUAGUAAAGAGGAAUGAUUGAACUUUGGUUUAGCAUAUUUCACUUCCAAAUAUUACAAAAAUUGAUGAUCAAGAAUAUAUAGGCAUAUGCUUAUAAAAAUGUAUGCCUUAAAUAUUAAUACUAAUGUACAAUAUCUUCUAAGGAGUAAGGAUGUUGAGAAGGCAGACUCUGUUUCUGAUUAAUAGCCUUGACAAGCACUCUGUGCCAGCCUCAAUAGCUUGAAGACCUGUAUUUAAUAUCUGCAGUUUCAUCGAUACAUCAACUUUAUAAUCGUUGUUGUGAAGGUAAGAACAGAGAGCAAGAUCAACACAUUCAACCUUAUUGAUUGUCUUUUCAUCUCCCUUAUAAGCUAUUGAUUUUGUUAAAAGCAUUUUUGAUAGCAAAGACCACCUGUUUUGCUUAGCCUUUGAAGCUGGCGAAGACAAGAAAUAAAGUUGUGAACUUUGGACUGAGAUGGUCAAGAUUGAUACUUGUCUUAGUACUCCAAAUAGCUUAGAUAAAGAUUGAUCUAAAUCAACUUGAGUAAAUGAUUCUAUCUUGUUUUCUAUUUGUUUUGGUACUUUGAGGCUCUUGGCUAUAUCCUUUUUCAAUUUUUUUCUUAAACUUAUGUAGGCAUUGAAGCAACUUUGUGUUGACACUCAAUUUUGAUCAUCCACGAUUUGAUUAAUUUUUAAAACUUCUUAGAUCUUAAACAAAUGAAAAUAAUUGAUUUUUAUCAAAAAAAGUAAAAAAAUUCUGCCUUUUCCACAUCGUUUUUCAAACAAUUUUCAAUUUUGCAGCAGUCCCACAUCGGUAUUUCAUCCUUUUUGAAGAUUUUUGGAUUUCUAUAUAAACCCACUUCAUUCCCUAUUAUAAGAGAGGAAUUUUUAGGGGAAGACCAAAUAGUACCCAUAAAAUUUUGAGAAUUCUUGGUUUUAUAGUUCAAAAUUUUAAAGUGAUUUUGUGGUUUUUCGAGUUGAGGAGAGGGAGUCGUCUCCUUCAAAAGCCAAAAGCGUAGUUUCGGUUCGCUGCCCAGUACCAGGUGUACAGGUUGAAAAACAGCAGAAAUGCACAGCUGGAAAUUGAUUACUGGUUCAUCAGAACCUGAAAAGUUGCUGGAAAUUAAUUUACAGGUGUUGAAGAUGAUGUAUACCUGCUGUAUACAUAUUGUAUAUACUGAUAUACAGGUUGACAGGCGUACAGGAAGCAAAAAUUCGAAAUCUGGGUUGAUAUCCCUCCAGAUACACUGCUGAAAAGGAGCUUUCAACUUUCGAAAGUUGAAAAAAAAGGCUGAUAUACAGAUUGUAUACACUGAUAUACAGAUAUGCUACACCAUAAAUAGGUGUAAAAAGUGUGAAUUGCAGGUUAACAUACAGAGACGCCAAAUUCAUAUAUAAUGCAGGAAUAGGAAAUGAAUACGUGCAUAGAAUACAGCUCGUAUAUAUUGAUAUACAUCUUUUGGGCAGCGAUAUACAAUUAUUAAAACAGGAUAAAAAAUGGUACAGAUACAAAGGCGCUGAAAUAAUAUGGAAAAUACAGAGGAAUCGCGAGAAAUGCGUAUUCAAACAAAAUACAUGGCUCAAAAGUCCAAAAUGGAAUUGGAUGUAUAUCGUAUACAUCAGUAUACAUCAUUAUAUACCUGUUUCUUUUUUUUUCAGGAAAAUUGGGCCAGGGCCCUUCAGCAAUUUUUAAAUAGGCCCAAAAGCCUAAUGUUUUUGCAGAUUUUAAUUAGUUAAGGGGGCCCAAGCCUACAUUUUAAAAAUCAGUAUGGACAGGUGGGCCAAAGCCCAAUUUUGAUGAAUUUGGGUAUUUAGCCCAAAUUCAAAAUGUUCUUUUCUCUUCCUCUUUUAUUUAUAUAUUGUUUGAAUUAAUUAAUAUUUGGUAGAAUUUUAAUAA
This is a long non-coding RNA of Solanum lycopersicum (tomato), 1986 nucleotides long. RefSeq lists it as uncharacterized. The record is from RefSeq and is a predicted model, not a curated record. NCBI's taxonomy places the organism in Eukaryota, Viridiplantae, Streptophyta, Magnoliopsida, Solanales, Solanaceae.